GCCAGGCUGCAGAAUUUGGCCAUCCUCAAACACCACCUUUAAUGGCAAAGGAGGGAUGGGAAAACUCCUGAAGACCAGGUAGCCAUGGAGUGCUACAUUUCUGGAUGGAAAGGGGACCACACAGGAUUCACAACUGGGCUCCUCUUGCUGUGUUGGAGGGAGAUGUUUCACCUGAGCACCAUGUUUCACAUGGCAGUGGGGCAAGGCACUGAGGCUGUGUGGCAUGGCACCACAGGGUGGCCACUGGUCCCUGAGUCGGCAGACCUGGCUCUCUUUUCCCUGCCAUGCUGACUUCAUGUUUAUGGCUAAGAAGCCUCUCCCAGGGAGCAGCUGAGCUUCAGGGGCAUUCCUGGAGCGUCCAGGAGAGCAAUAUGGCCCUUUGCUGGUGGAGAACCUGAGACCCUCAAGGAGAAAGUGAAGAAAAUUCUCUCUGCAUACAGACCCCUUCCCAUUUUCCCAUUCUGGGUUGACUAUCCUCCCUCAUAGAUGUGCUCAUGAGUCUUGGAAAUUCUCUUGACUC
Molecule: long non-coding RNA, 520 nt
Filed under: Homo sapiens (human)
Lineage: Eukaryota; Metazoa; Chordata; Mammalia; Primates; Hominidae
Description: novel transcript
Source: RNAcentral